Molecule: non-coding RNA, 24 nt
Filed under: Drosophila melanogaster (fruit fly)
Lineage: Eukaryota; Metazoa; Arthropoda; Insecta; Diptera; Drosophilidae
Source: RNAcentral
UUGAGAUUCAGCAUACAGUCACGC